GUGCUCGCUUCGGCAGCACAUGUACUAAAAUUGGAACGAUACAGAGAAGAUUAGCACGGCCCCUGCACAUGGAGGACACGCAAAAGGGGGAAGUGCUCCACAUUCUU
Molecule: small nuclear RNA, 107 nt
Filed under: Myotis brandtii (Brandt's bat)
Lineage: Eukaryota; Metazoa; Chordata; Mammalia; Chiroptera; Vespertilionidae
Source: RNAcentral